UACGGAGGGUGCAAGCGUUAUCCGGAUUCACUGGGCUUAAAGGGUGCGUAGGUGGGCUUGUAAGUCAGGGGUGAAAGACGGUAGCUCAACUAUCGCAGUGCCCUUGAUACUGAUGGGCUUGAAUGAACUAGAGGUAGGCGGAAUGUGACAAGUAGCGGUGAAAUGCAUAGAUAUGUCACAGAACACCAAUUGCGAAGGCAGCUUACUAUGGUUUUAUUGACACUGAGGCACGAAAGCGUGGGGAUCAAACAGG
Molecule: ribosomal RNA, 253 nt
Filed under: uncultured bacterium
Lineage: Bacteria
Description: partial 16S ribosomal RNA
Rfam family: Bacterial small subunit ribosomal RNA
Source: RNAcentral